This 1478-nucleotide ribosomal RNA is filed under the name uncultured Chloroflexota bacterium. RNAcentral's name for it is "bacterial SSU rRNA". It matches the Rfam family "Bacterial small subunit ribosomal RNA". Lineage: Bacteria; Bacillati; Chloroflexota. The record is from RNAcentral.
CGAUUGAGGACUUUGAUCAUGGCUCAGGAUGAACGCUGGCGGCGUGCUUAAUACAUGCAAGUCGAACGGAGACUUUGUAGCAAUACGGAGUCUUAGUGGCGAACGGGUGCGUAACGCGUUGGUGACCUGCCCCGAAGUUGUGGGAUAACAGUUCGAAAGGACUGCUAAUACCGCAUGUGGUCAUGGAGGUUAGAGGCUAAUGACUAAAGCAGUAAUGCGCUUCGGGAGGGACCUGCGUCCCAUCAGCUAGUUGGUAGGGUAACGGCCUACCAAGGCUUCGACGGGUAGGGGACCUGAGAGGGUGGUCCCCCACAUUGGCACUGAAACACGGGCCAAACACCUACGGGUGGCAGCAGUAGGGAAUAUUGGGCAAUGGGCGAAAGCCUGACCCAGCAUGCCGCGUGUGCGAUGAAGGCCUUCGGGUCGUAAAGCACUUUUCUGGGAGAUGAGAAAGGACAGUAUCUCAGGAAUAAGUCUCGGCUAACUACGUGCCAGCAGCCGCGGUAAAACGUAGCGGCAAGCGUUAUCCGGAUUUACUGGGCGUAAAGCGCGUGCAGGCGGUUUGGUAAGUUGGAUUUGAAAGCUCCUGGCUCAACUAGGAGAGGUCGUUCAAUACUACCAGACUAGAGAAAGGUAGAGGGAGGUGGAAUUCCCGGUGUAGUGGUGAAAUGCGUAGAUAUCGGGAGGAACACCAGUGGCGAAAGCGGCCUCCUGGACCGUUUCUGACGCUCAGACGCGAAAGCUAGGGUAGCAAACGGGAUUAGAGACCCCGGUAGUCCUAGCUGUAAACGAUGUGCACUUGGCGUCGGCGGGUUCAAAGCCGUCGGUGCCGAAGCCAACGCGAUAAGUUCACCGCCUCCGGACUACGGCCGCAAGGUUAAAACUCAAAGGAAUUGACGGGUUCCCGCACAAGCAGCGGAGCGUGUGGUUCAAUUCGAUGUUACACGAAGAACAUUUCCCGGGUUUGACAUUCAGGUGGUAGUGAAGCGAAAGCAGAACGACCCUUCGGGGAGCCUGAACAGGUGUUGCAUGGCUGGCGUCAGCUCGUGUCGUGAGAUGUUCUGUUAAGUCCGCUAACGAGCGCAACCCUCGUCGUAUGUUACAUGUUCAUAGGAGACCGCCGGUAUCAAUCCGGAGGAAGGUGGGGACGAAGUCAAGUCAGCAUGGCCUUUAUAUCCGGGGCUACACACACGCUACAAUGGCCGGUACAAUGGUCGCUAAGCCGCGAGGUAGAGCCAAUCCCCAAAGCCGGCCUCAGUUCAGCUCGCAGGCUGAAACACGCCUGCGUGAAGUUGGAGUUGCUAUUAAACGCGCGUCAGCUAUAGUGCGUUGAAUACGUUCCCGGGAAUUGUACACACCGCCCGUCACGUCAUGGGAGCUGGCAACCCCUGAAGCCGGCCAUGCCUAACCGCAAGGAGGGCGCUGUCGAAGGUGUAUCGGUGACUGGGACUUAGUCGUAACAAGGUAACGCAGUUUAA